GACGAACGCUGGCGGCGUGCUUAACACAUGCAAGUCGAACGGAAAGGCCCUGCUUGCAGGGUACUCGCGUGGCGAACGGGUGAGUAACACGUGGGUGAUCUGCCCUGCACUUCGGGAUAAGCCUGGGCAACUGGGUCUAAUACCGGAUAGGAGCCAUUUUUAGUGUGAUGGUUGGAAAGUUUUUUCGGUGUAGGAUGAGCUCGCGGCCUAUCAGCUUGCUGGUGGGGUAAUGGCCUACCAAGGCGGCGACGGGUAGCCGGACUGAGAAGGUGGACGGCCACACUGGGACCGAGAUACGGCCCAGACUCCGACGGGAGGGAGAAGGGGGGAAUAUUGAACAAUGGGCGCAAGCCGGAUGCAGAGGCGCCGCGGGGGGGAUGACGGCCUUCGGGUUGUAAACUCCUUUCGCUAGGGACGAAGCUUUUUGUGACGGUACCUAGAUAAGAAGCACCGGCUAACUACGUG
RNAcentral lists this ribosomal RNA (465 nucleotides) under uncultured bacterium. RNAcentral's name for it is "partial 16S ribosomal RNA". It matches the Rfam family "Bacterial small subunit ribosomal RNA", at positions 28 to 507 of the family's 1533-position model. The record is from RNAcentral.